Molecule: long non-coding RNA, 380 nt
Organism: Brassica oleracea var. oleracea
Lineage: Eukaryota; Viridiplantae; Streptophyta; Magnoliopsida; Brassicales; Brassicaceae
Exons: 3
Source: RefSeq, a predicted model, not a curated record
GAGUUGAGGUUGUUGUAGAGAGAUUGUCUUGAAAACAAUGAUGCUCAUUGAUUGGAAGUCUUCGCUAAUCCAGACAUCAAUCAAUGUUCACCGGCUCAACACAUCUUGAAACAAGGAGGGCUGUAUGAGCUAAGUGUGUUUGGUGCUACAAGAAGCAACCCAAAUUUCUGAUUUGGUGACACCCAUGUUUCUAUCCACCCCAUCCCGAGGAGAGCUUUCUGUUUCGCAAUUACGACCAACUCAUGCUCUUGGCUAUCACGAUCACAGUUUUUCGAGGUCAUGGAUGUUCUUUUACGUCGUGUUGUUCUAAAUGUGAACAUAAGCUCUAGGGAGAUAUUUCUUCUUUCACAUGCAUCGUCUGUGAUAAUACCAGUGCUGUG